RNAcentral lists this ribosomal RNA (301 nucleotides) under uncultured bacterium. RNAcentral's name for it is "partial 16S ribosomal RNA". It matches the Rfam family "Bacterial small subunit ribosomal RNA", at positions 509 to 807 of the family's 1533-position model. The record is from RNAcentral.
CAGUCGCCGCGGUAAUACGAGGGGGGCAAGCGUUGUUCGGAAUUAUUGGGCGUAAAGGGUGCGUAGGCGGUUCGUUAAGUCUGUUGUGAAAGCCCCGGGCUCAACCUGGGAAUGGCAAUGGAUACUGGCGAGCUAGAGUGUGUCAGAGGAUAGUGGAAUUCCUGGUGUAGCGGUGGAAUGCGCAGAUAUCAGGAGGAACACCAAUAGCGAAGGCAGCUCGCUGGGACGUUACUGACACUGAGGCGCGAAAGCGUGGGGAGCGAACAGGAUUAGAUACCCCGGUAGUCCCUGUCUCUUAUAC